UGUCCCAGCCGCCGCGGUAAUACGUAGGGGGCAAGCGUUAUCCGGAAUUACUGGGCGUAAAGGGUGCGUAGGCGGUUUAUCAAGUCAGGGGUGAAAGGCUACGGCUCAACCGUAGUGAGCCUCUGAAACUGGUGAACUUGAGUGUAGGAGAGGAAAGUGGAAUUCCCAGUGUAGCGGUGAAAUGCGUAGAUAUUGGGAGGAACACCAGUGGCGAAGGCGACUUUCUGGACUACAACUGACGCUGAGGCACGAAAGCGUGGGGAGCAAACAGGAUUAGAUACCCUGGUAGUCCACGCUGUAAACGAUGAGUACUAGGUGUCGGCUGUCAAAGGUCGGUGCCGGCGUUAACACAUUAAGUACUCCGCCUGGGGAGUAC
This 376-nucleotide ribosomal RNA is filed under the name uncultured bacterium. RNAcentral's name for it is "bacterial SSU rRNA". It matches the Rfam family "Bacterial small subunit ribosomal RNA", at positions 504 to 883 of the family's 1533-position model. The record is from RNAcentral.